Molecule: small RNA, 101 nt
Filed under: Colobus angolensis palliatus
Lineage: Eukaryota; Metazoa; Chordata; Mammalia; Primates; Cercopithecidae
Description: Y RNA (ENSCANG00000017050.1)
Source: RNAcentral
GGCUGGUAGUGAGUUAUCUCAAUCAUUUACAGUCAGUAACAGAUUGAACUCCUUGUUCUAUUCUUUCCCCCUUUCUCAAGAGUGCACUUAACUAGUCUAAA